RNAcentral lists this ribosomal RNA (351 nucleotides) under uncultured bacterium. RNAcentral describes it as "bacterial SSU rRNA". It matches the Rfam family "Bacterial small subunit ribosomal RNA", at positions 22 to 356 of the family's 1533-position model. The record is from RNAcentral.
GCUCAGGAUGAACGCUGGCGGCGUGCUUAACACAUGCAAGUCGAACGGGAAUUACUUUAUUGAAACUUCGGUCGAUUUAAUUUAAUUCUAGUGGCGGACGGGUGAGUAACGCGUGGGUAACCUGCCUUAUACAGGGGGAUAACAGUCAGAAAUGGCUGCUAAUACCGCAUAAGCGCACAGAGCUGCAUGGCUCAGUGUGAAAAACUCCGGUGGUAUAAGAUGGACCCGCGUUGGAUUAGCUGGUUGGUGGGGUAACGGCCCACCAAGGCGACGAUCCAUAGCCGGCCUGAGAGGGUGAACGGCCACAUUGGGACUGAGACACGGCCCAGACUCCUACGGGAGGCAGCAGUA